AGUGAACGCUGGCGGUAGGCCUAACACAUGAAAGUCGAACGGCAGCACAGUAAGAGCUUGCUAUUACGGGUGGCGAGUGGCGGACGGGUGAGGUAUACAUCGGAAUCUACUUUUUCGUGGGGGAUAACGUAGGGAAACUUACGCUAAUACCGCAUAUCACCUACGGGUGAAAGCAGGGGAUCUUCGGACCUUGCGCGAUUGAAUGAGCCGAUGUCGGAUUAGCUAGUUGGCGGGGUAUAGGCCCACCAAGGCGACGAUCCGUAGCUGGUCUGAGAGGAUGAUCAGCCACACUGGAACUGAGCCACGGUCCAUACUCCUACGGCAGGCAGCAGUGUGUAAUAUUGGACAAUGGACGCAAGCCUGAUCCAGCCAUACCGCGUGGGUGACGAAGGCCUUCGGGUUGUAAAGCCCUUUUGUUGGGAAAGAAAAGCAGCUGGUUAAUACCCCGCUGUUCUGACGGUACCCAAAGAAUAAGCACCGGCUAACUUCGUG
This 492-nucleotide ribosomal RNA is filed under the name uncultured bacterium. RNAcentral describes it as "partial 16S ribosomal RNA". It matches the Rfam family "Bacterial small subunit ribosomal RNA", at positions 29 to 507 of the family's 1533-position model. The record is from RNAcentral.